UAGGUUCGAGGUGGAAGCAUGGUGACAUGUGGAGCUGACGAAUACUAAUCGAUCGAAGACUUAAUCAA
RNAcentral lists this ribosomal RNA (68 nucleotides) under Staphylococcus aureus. RNAcentral describes it as "partial 23S ribosomal RNA". RNAcentral also lists the same sequence under 1 other name. Lineage: Bacteria; Bacillati; Bacillota; Bacilli; Caryophanales; Staphylococcaceae. The record is from RNAcentral.